GUGGGGAAUAUUGGACAAUGGGCGAAAGCCUGAUCCAGCCAUGCCGCGUGUGUGAAGAAGGUCUUCGGAUUGUAAAGCACUUUAAGUUGGGAGGAAGGGUAGUAACCUAAUACGUUGCUACUUUGACGUUACCGACAGAAUAAGCACCGGCUAACUUCGUGCCAGCAGCCGCGGUAAUACGAAGGGUGCAAGCGUUAAUCGGAAUUACUGGGCGUAAAGAGCGCGUAGGUGGUUCAGUAAGUUGGAGGUGAAAUCCCCGGGCUCAACCUGGGAACUGCCUACAAAACUGCAUGACUAGAGUACGGUAGAGGGUAGUGGAAUUUCCUGUGUAGCGGUGAAAUGCGUAGAUAUAGGAAGGAACACCAGUGGCGAAGGCGACUACCUGGACUGAUACUGACACUGAGGUGCGAAAGCGUGGGGAGCAAACAGGAUUAGAAACCCCGGUAGUCC
Molecule: ribosomal RNA, 450 nt
Filed under: uncultured bacterium
Lineage: Bacteria
Description: partial 16S ribosomal RNA
Rfam family: Bacterial small subunit ribosomal RNA
Source: RNAcentral